Molecule: ribosomal RNA, 446 nt
Filed under: Saccharomyces cerevisiae (brewer's yeast)
Lineage: Eukaryota; Fungi; Ascomycota; Saccharomycetes; Saccharomycetales; Saccharomycetaceae
Description: LSU rRNA
Rfam family: Eukaryotic large subunit ribosomal RNA
Source: RNAcentral
CUUCGGUGCCCGAGUUGUAAUUUGGAGAGGGCAACUUUGGGGCCGUUCCUUGUCUAUGUUCCUUGGAACAGGACGUCAUAGAGGGUGAGAAUCCCGUGUGGCGAGGAGUGCGGUUCUUUGUAAAGUGCCUUCGAAGAGUCGAGUUGUUUGGGAAUGCAGCUCUAAGUGGGUGGUAAAUUCCAUCUAAAGCUAAAUAUUGGCGAGAGACCGAUAGCGAACAAGUACAGUGAUGGAAAGAUGAAAAGAACUUUGAAAAGAGAGUGAAAAAGUACGUGAAAUUGUUGAAAGGGAAGGGCAUUUGAUCAGACAUGGUGUUUUGUGCCCUCUGCUCCUUGUGGGUAGGGGAAUCUCGCAUUUCACUGGGCCAGCAUCAGUUUUGGUGGCAGGAUAAAUCCAUAGGAAUGUAGCUUGCCUCGGUAAGUAUUAUAGCCUGUGGGAAUACUGCC